AACGAACGCUGGCGGCAUGCCUAACACAUGCAAGUCGAACGAGACCUUCGGGUCUAGUGGCGCACGGGUGCGUAACGCGUGGGAAUCUGCCCUUGGGUUCGGAAUAACAGUUGGAACGACUGCUAAUACCGGAUGAUGACGUAAGUCCAAAGAUUUAUCGCCCAAGGAUGAGCCCGCGUAGGAUUAGCUAGUUGGUGAGGUAAAGGCUCACCAAGGCGACGAUCCUUAGCUGGUCUGAGAGGAUGAUCAGCCACACUGGGACUGAGACACGGCCCAGACUCCUACGGGAGGCAGCAGUGGGGAAUAUUGGACAAUGGGCGAAAGCCUGAUCCAGCAAUGCCGCGUGAGUGAUGAAGGCCUUAGGGUUGUAAAGCUCUUUUACCCGGGAUGAUAAUGACAGUACCGGGAGAAUAAGCUCCGGCUAACUCCGUG
Molecule: ribosomal RNA, 432 nt
Filed under: uncultured bacterium
Lineage: Bacteria
Description: partial 16S ribosomal RNA
Rfam family: Bacterial small subunit ribosomal RNA
Source: RNAcentral